AGUGAACGCUGGCGGUAGGCCUAACACAUGCAAGUCGAACGGCAGCACAGUAAGAGCUUGCUCUUACGGGUGGCGAGUGGCGGACGGGUGAGGAAUACAUCGGAAUCUACUUUUUCGUGGGGGAUAACGUAGGGAAACUUACGCUAAUACCGCAUACGACCUACGGGCGAAAGCAGGGGAUCUUCGGACCUUGCGCGAUUGAAUGAGCCGAUGUCGGAUUAGCUAGUUGGCGGGGUAAAGGCCCACCAAGGCGACGAUCCGUAGCUGGUCUGAGAGGAUGAUCAGCCACACUGGAACUGAGACACGGUCCAGACUCCUACGGGAGGCAGCAGUGGGGAAUAUUGGACAAUGGGCGCAAGCCUGAUCCAGCCAUACCGCGUGGGUGAAGAAGGCCUUCGGGUUGUAAAGCCCUUUUGUUGGGAAAGAAAAGCAGCAGGUUAAUACCCCGCUGUUCUGACGGUACCCAAAGAAUAAGCACCGGCUAACUUCGAG
This 492-nucleotide ribosomal RNA is filed under the name uncultured bacterium. Its description in RNAcentral is "partial 16S ribosomal RNA". It matches the Rfam family "Bacterial small subunit ribosomal RNA", at positions 29 to 507 of the family's 1533-position model. The record is from RNAcentral.